This 555-nucleotide ribosomal RNA is filed under the name Staphylococcus aureus. RNAcentral describes it as "bacterial SSU rRNA". It matches the Rfam family "Bacterial small subunit ribosomal RNA", at positions 980 to 1533 of the family's 1533-position model. Lineage: Bacteria; Bacillati; Bacillota; Bacilli; Caryophanales; Staphylococcaceae. The record is from RNAcentral.
CUUGACAUCCUUUGACAACUCUAGAGAUAGAGCCUUCCCCUUCGGGGGACAAAGUGACAGGUGGUGCAUGGUUGUCGUCAGCUCGUGUCGUGAGAUGUUGGGUUAAGUCCCGCAACGAGCGCAACCCUUAAGCUUAGUUGCCAUCAUUAAGUUGGGCACUCUAAGUUGACUGCCGGUGACAAACCGGAGGAAGGUGGGGAUGACGUCAAAUCAUCAUGCCCCUUAUGAUUUGGGCUACACACGUGCUACAAUGGACAAUACAAAGGGCAGCGAAACCGCGAGGUCAAGCAAAUCCCAUAAAGUUGUUCUCAGUUCGGAUUGUAGUCUGCAACUCGACUACAUGAAGCUGGAAUCGCUAGUAAUCGUAGAUCAGCAUGCUACGGUGAAUACGUUCCCGGGUCUUGUACACACCGCCCGUCACACCACGAGAGUUUGUAACACCCGAAGCCGGUGGAGUAACCUUUUAGGAGCUAGCCGUCGAAGGUGGGACAAAUGAUUGGGGUGAAGUCGUAACAAGGUAGCCGUAUCGGAAGGUGCGGCUGGAUCACCUCCUUU